CACCGCCCGUCACAUCACGAAAGUGAGUUGUACUAGAAGUCGCCACGCUAACCGCAAGGAGGCAGGCGCCCAAGGUAUGACCCCAUGAUUGGGGGUGAAGUCGUAACAAGGUACCC
This 116-nucleotide ribosomal RNA is filed under the name uncultured bacterium. RNAcentral describes it as "partial 16S ribosomal RNA". It matches the Rfam family "Bacterial small subunit ribosomal RNA", at positions 1388 to 1501 of the family's 1533-position model. The record is from RNAcentral.